AUUGAACGCUGGCGGCAGGCCUAACACAUGCAAGUCGAGCGGAUGAAGAGAGCUUGCUCUCUGAUUCAGCGGCGGACGGGUGAGUAAUGCCUAGGAAUCUGCCUGGUAGUGGGGGACAACGUCUCGAAAGGGACGCUAAUACCGCAUACGUCCUACGGGAGAAAGCAGGGGACCUUCGGGCCUUGCGCUAUCAGAUGAGCCUAGGUCGGAUUAGCUAGUUGGUGAGGUAAUGGCUCACCAAGGCGACGAUCCGUAACUGGUCUGAGAGGAUGAUCAGUCACACUGGAANUGAGACACGGUCCAGACUCCUACGGGAGGCAGCAGUGGGGAAUAUUGGACAAUNGGNGAAAGCCUGAUCCAGCCAUGCCGCGUGUGUGAAGAAGGUCUUCGGAUUGUAAAGCACUUUAAGUUGGGAGGAAGGGUNGUAGAUUAAUACUNUGCAAUUUUGACGUUACCGACAGAAUAAGCACC
This 471-nucleotide ribosomal RNA is filed under the name Pseudomonas sp. NN018587. Its description in RNAcentral is "bacterial SSU rRNA". It matches the Rfam family "Bacterial small subunit ribosomal RNA", at positions 30 to 494 of the family's 1533-position model. Lineage: Bacteria; Pseudomonadati; Pseudomonadota; Gammaproteobacteria; Pseudomonadales; Pseudomonadaceae. The record is from RNAcentral.